This 280-nucleotide ribosomal RNA is filed under the name uncultured bacterium. RNAcentral's name for it is "partial 16S ribosomal RNA". It matches the Rfam family "Bacterial small subunit ribosomal RNA", at positions 74 to 354 of the family's 1533-position model. The record is from RNAcentral.
CCUGCCGUUGCCGGCGACCGGCGCACGGGUGAGUAACACGUAUGCAACCUGCCCGUGGCAGGGGGAUAAGCGGGGGAAACCCCGUCUAAUACCGCGUAACGCGGCCUUGGGGCAUCCCAAGGCCGCCAAAGGGAGCAAUCCCGGCCACGGAUGGGCAUGCGGCGCAUUAGCUAGUCGGCGGGGUAACGGCCCACCGAGGCGACGAAGCGUAGGGGUUCUGAGAGGAAGGCCCCCCACACUGGUACUGAGACACGGACCAGACUCCUACGGAAGGCAGCAG